UGGCGAACGGGUGAGUAACGCGUGAGGAACCUGCCUCAAAGAGGGGGACAACAGUUGGAAACGACUGCUAAUACCGCAUAAGCCCACGACCCGGCAUCGGGAAGAGGGAAAAGGUGCAAUCCGCUUUGAGAUGGCCUCGCUCCGAUUAGCUAGUUGGUGAGGUAACGGCCCACCAAGGCGACGAUCGGUAGCCGGACUGAGAGGUUGAACGGCCACAUUGGGACUGAGACACGGCCCAG
RNAcentral lists this ribosomal RNA (239 nucleotides) under uncultured bacterium. RNAcentral's name for it is "partial 16S ribosomal RNA". It matches the Rfam family "Bacterial small subunit ribosomal RNA", at positions 96 to 334 of the family's 1533-position model. The record is from RNAcentral.